Molecule: signal recognition particle RNA, 261 nt
Filed under: Dehalococcoidia bacterium
Lineage: Bacteria; Bacillati; Chloroflexota; Dehalococcoidia
Description: signal recognition particle sRNA large type
Rfam family: Bacterial large signal recognition particle RNA
About the family: The signal recognition particle (SRP) is a universally conserved ribonucleoprotein involved in the co-translational targeting of proteins to membranes. Archaeal SRP consists of a 7S RNA and homologues of the eukaryotic SRP19 and SRP54 proteins.
Source: RNAcentral
UCGUGCUAGGCGGGGCUCUAGCGGUGCCCUGUACCCGCAAUCCGCUAUAGCGGGGCUGAAUGCCCGUCCGAGAACGGUCCAGACGGGACUGUGAACGCCAGGCGGCGUUGAGAGCCUGGUCCCAUGCGGCAACGUCCGGUGAACCCCGCCAGGGCCGGAAGGCAGCAACGGUAAGCCGACUUCGUUGGGCGCCAUGGGGUCGCCGGGCUUGAGCUGGCCAGCGGGAUCAAGCCGCCAGGACCGCCCGACGGCGGGGCACGG